GACGAACGCUGGCGGCGUGCUUAACACAUGCAAGUCGAACGAAGAGCGAUGGAAGCUUGCUUCUAUCAAUCUUAGUGGCGAACGGGUGAGUAACGCGUAAUCAACCUGCCCUUCAGAGGGGGACAACAGUUGGAAACGACUGCUAAUACCGCAUACGAUCUAAUCUCGGCAUCGAGGAUAGAUGAAAGGUGGCCUCUAUGUAUAAGCUAUCACUGAAGGAGGGGAUUGCGUCUGAUUAGCUAGUUGGAGGGGUAACGGCCCACCAAGGCGAUGAUCAGUAGCCGGUCUGAGAGGAUGAACGGCCACAGUGGGACUGAGACACGGCCCAGACUCCUACGGGAGGCAGCAGUGGGGAAUCUUCCGCAAUGGACGAAAGUCUGACGGAGCAACGCCGCGUGAGUGAUGACGGCCUUCGGGUUGUAAAGCUCUGUUAAUCGGGACGAAAGGCCUUCUUGCGAAUAGUGAGAAGGAUUGACGGUACCGGAAUAGAAAGCCACGGCUAACUACGUG
This 510-nucleotide ribosomal RNA is filed under the name uncultured bacterium. RNAcentral describes it as "partial 16S ribosomal RNA". It matches the Rfam family "Bacterial small subunit ribosomal RNA", at positions 28 to 507 of the family's 1533-position model. The record is from RNAcentral.